Pelobates cultripes (western spadefoot toad) is the source of this 204-nucleotide non-coding RNA. The record is from the annotation of a GenBank genome assembly. Lineage: Eukaryota; Metazoa; Chordata; Amphibia; Anura; Pelobatidae.
GUCUGCUGCUCGCAUCCAUACGGCCAACUUACGCUUGUAGGACUUCUCGUGGGUGCCUACCUACCACCAUCAGACUCUCCCCUAGACUUGCAUCUUUUAGGAAGUGCCUUAAAACCCAUCUCUUUAGGAAAGCUUAUGGCCUCCCAGAGUAACCUCGACCUUACAUACCUGUCUCUUGCGCUCUCCUAAAGGGCAGCACUUUAC